GCACUUACACCUGAACUUGUCUCCAGCACUGCGGACACCCGGGUGACACAUUCUUUCGGAGAGGGAGGGCAAGACUUUUCUCCGGAGCCUCUGGCAACUCGUGGAGUCUAUAUAAGCUCUGGAUUGAUUGAUGACCACCGGCGGCCAAUGGCUCUGACACCACGCCAUCCUCGGUCGGGCAUCACAGCCCCACGUCCCCGACCUCAGCCUCCCGGGCGCGUUGGCAUCCCCGAACCCACAGCGCUGAGCCCGAGCCCGGGGCCGCCGCCUCCUCCCUGCUCUACGCCUGGGCGCUGCCAGGUUCCUUCCCUGGAACGGCGGAGAAAGGAAGGGAGGGAGCCAGCGAGCGUUGGAAGGGGGUGUGGAGGCCACGGGAUCUCCCCCUCUUCUGACAUCUUUUUUCACUUAAACUUUUGUUUGUCCCACCCCCCCGACCUGUUUGUGUUUGUUUGCAGCAUCUCAAAUCAAUUAUACAUUUUUCAUGACCCGCA
Long non-coding RNA from Homo sapiens (human), 491 nucleotides. Ensembl annotates it as MPPED2 antisense RNA 1. Its record names the gene MPPED2-AS1. The record is from Ensembl. Lineage: Eukaryota; Metazoa; Chordata; Mammalia; Primates; Hominidae.